Molecule: ribosomal RNA, 489 nt
Filed under: uncultured soil bacterium
Lineage: Bacteria
Description: bacterial SSU rRNA
Rfam family: Bacterial small subunit ribosomal RNA
Source: RNAcentral
AGGACGAACGCUGGCGGCGUGCUUAACACAUGCAAGUCGAGCGGAAAGGCCCUUCGGGGUACUCGAGCGGCGAACGGGUGAGUAACACGUGAGUAAUCUGCCCAUCGCUUCAGGAUAGCCAUCGGAAACGGUGAUUAAUACUGGAUAUGACAUUCCUUCGCAUGUUGGGGUGUGGAAAGUUUUUUCGGCGGUGGAUGUGCUCGCGGCCUAUCAGCUUGUUGGUGGGGUAAUGGCCUACCAAGGCUUUGACGGGUAGCCGGCCUGAGAGGGUGACCGGCCACACUGGGACUGAGACACGGCCCAGACUCCUACGGGAGGCAGCAGUGGGGAAUAUUGGACAAUGGGCGAAGCCUGAUCCAGCAACGCGCGUGAGGAUGACGGCCUUCGGGUUGUAAACCGUCUUUCAGCACAGACGAAGUUUUGCUUUUUGGUGUAAGUGACGGUAUGUGCUAGAAGAAGGACCGGCCAACGUACGUGCCAGCAGCCGAC